This is a long non-coding RNA of Pezoporus occidentalis (night parrot), 2109 nucleotides long. RefSeq lists it as uncharacterized. The record is from RefSeq and is a predicted model, not a curated record. Lineage: Eukaryota; Metazoa; Chordata; Aves; Psittaciformes; Psittacidae. The transcript has 2 exons.
GAUAUGCACAGAUCUUAAACCCAUCCAGAUGUCCCCAGCUGGUAACCUGAUCCUCAACAUCAUACCCAAGAUCUGAAAUCUAAAAAGUCAGAAUGCUGAAGAUGGGGUAGCAGGGCUUAUAGAAAAAGAAAUGGAAGCUCAGGACGGUGGGGACCUGAACCUGCCCCACACUACUGUUGCUGCAUAGCAUCUUGAGGAACAGGAAUCUUCCAAGUCCCAUCCCAAAGACUAUGGAAGAUUCCACAGUAAAAUGAACAUAAGUGCUUUUCUAGCAUGUUAUACCUUAAAGUAUAAGCUACAUGAGGAAGACACUCGGAGGCACUUCAGCAACCUGUGUUGCUACAGAGCACAGUAGGAUGAACCAAGGGUGCACUGUGACACACAAAGAUGAAAAUGGGCCUGGAGUAUGUUGCACAAGAUGAGCAUGAAGGAACAGAGGUUAUCUGGUCUGAAGAAGAGAAUAAAGGGGACCUUACUGCUACCUUCAACUACCUCUUUGGAGAGUAUAGAGAAGACAAAGCCAGGCUUGCCAGAGGUGCAUGGUAAGAUCAGUGUCAGAAAACCAAAAAUUCUGAUUAGAUAACAGAGAAAGGUUUUGCUUGCUGUUUUUUUUUGUCUGUUUCUUUUUUAAAUCAUGAAGGUGCUCAAGUGCUUGAGAAGUCACCAGAGAGAUUGUAGGAUCUCCAUUCUUGAAGAUAUCAAAACUCAACUGGACAAGGUCCAGGACAACGCAAUCUAACUGCAUGUGCUACAGAGCAGAGGACUGAUCAUCUCAAGACUUCCCUUCCAAACUCAGUUGGCAUGAUUCUAAUGUUAUAAUGCUACAGGAUACUGUAAGCAUGUUUUCUACUCACUCACACUGCACAAGUCAUUGGCUGGACCCAUCAGGAAUUCAAACUGUUUGGAACAGACAGUGGCUGCUCCUACUAGCUUUUACUACCCUUCCUCCCAAGUUCUGCAAGAUCACAAGAUCUCACCAAAGCACUUUAUGAGCACUAGGAUUCUGAUCGGCAUAAAGCUGAGAAGCCCUCCUCUUAGACAGAUCUUGGGCAGUCUGAUGACUGUUCUCAGCUCACGUUCUCAUUAACAUGAGUAGCUGAAGGAAGAGCUGUCUGUCAUAUGGAGAUAGCCUUAAAACUGCUUACCACUUUUUUCGUUACAUGUUAGUAGCAGGCUCAACAUAAUUGUACAAGUAGCUUAGAUGAUGGCAUCUAUUAUGGUGGGAGAAAAGGCUAAGGGGAGGUUUUUAUAGCUUAUGUUCAUUUAUAUCUUACGUGCAUAUAGCAACCAGGAAACCAGAGAUGCCCUGAACGUGUUUUUAUUGUUGAAAAUUGAGAACAUACUGUGCAAGGUAUGUAAGUGCCCCCAGUUAAAAGUCUUAUUUUCCCAGAUUUAAAAUUAAUUUGAAGGUAGCCUUAUAGAUUGCAGUGCUUAUCAUGACUGGAUGCAUGAAAGGAAGCACCAAGGAGAGGACCAAAACACAUUUUGACCUUGUAAUGACUCAAGUGACCACCAAACUUUGCUUCCAUUUGUCCUUCUGCAACCUGGAUUAGUGGGUUUUCAACUGCUGUCCAGAACCUUCUGGGCUCCUAAAUUACUUUUGAAAGAUCUAUGUGGAAAUAAGCUAUGAAAAGUGAUUUCAUAAGAAAUUGGCUACACUAGAAACAAAAUAAAUCAAAGGACCUAAAAUUUGAAAACCACUCCCUAAGACAAGAAAAGUAGUUGCUUCGUAUUUUUUAAUGAGACGUUACUAAUUCCACUUUCCAGAUUCUUAUCUACUCUCCCAGUAACACACUAUUUACACUAUUUACAUUGAAAACCCCACUUCUGAAUUUUAUGCUGGUUCUGGUUUUCACAGAAACUAAGCUGAGACUUAAUUUCUUUCAUAUUCAAGGUUUUCCAGGAAUUAUGUGAAUAUCCUGGAUUAUACAUUCUUUAAAACAAGGUGGUCCCUGACUGUAUGGGACAAGGGCCUACUGCUGCAAGACAAAGUUACUAACGUUACAGAAUUUGAGCACCUUGUAUCACAUCCUGCUUGAAACUUAAAUAUUAGCAUGUGACUCAAACACAACAACAUCUGAUAAUAGCCAAGUGCAAAUUAAGAAAGAA